This is a small nuclear RNA of Heteronotia binoei (common prickly gecko), 165 nucleotides long. RefSeq annotates it as U1 spliceosomal RNA. NCBI's taxonomy places the organism in Eukaryota, Metazoa, Chordata, Lepidosauria, Squamata, Gekkonidae. The record is from RefSeq and is a predicted model, not a curated record. The transcript has a single exon.
CUACUGCUCUGUUCUCCCUGUUUCUCUUGAUCACAAAGGAGGUUUUCCCAGGAUGAGGCUCAACCAUUACACACCGGGUGUGCUAACCCCUGCAAUUUCCCAAAUGCGGGGAAACUUGACUGAAUUAUUUGUGAUAGUGGGGGACUGCGUUUGUGCUUGCCCAUC